GAUGAACGCUGGCGGCGUGCCUAAUACAUGCAAGUCGAGCGAACAGACCAGGAGUUUGCUCCUCUGACGUUAGCGGCGGACGGGUGAGUAACACGUGGAUAACCUACCUAUAAGACAGGGAUAACUUCGGGAAACCGGAGCUACUACCGGAUAAUAUAUUGACUCUCAUGGUUCCAUAGUGAAAUACGGUUUUGCUGUGACUUAUAGAUGGAUCCGCGCAGCAUUAGCUAGUUGGUAAGGUAACGGCUUACCAAGGCAACGAUGCGUAGCAGACCUGAGAGGGUGGUCCGGCACACUGUAAGUGAGACACAGCCGAGACAUCUACGCGGGGCCGCAGUAGGGAAUCCUCCGCGAUGGGGGAAAGCGUGACGGAGCAACGCCGCGUGAAUGAUGAAGGUCUUCGGCUCGUAAAACUCUGUUAGUAUUGAAGAACAAAUGUGUUAGUAACUAUGCACGUCUUGACGGUACCUAGUCAGAAAGCCACGGCUAACUACGUG
Molecule: ribosomal RNA, 497 nt
Filed under: uncultured bacterium
Lineage: Bacteria
Description: partial 16S ribosomal RNA
Rfam family: Bacterial small subunit ribosomal RNA
Source: RNAcentral